RNAcentral lists this ribosomal RNA (477 nucleotides) under Tannerella forsythia. Its description in RNAcentral is "bacterial SSU rRNA". It matches the Rfam family "Bacterial small subunit ribosomal RNA", at positions 9 to 480 of the family's 1533-position model. The record is from RNAcentral. Lineage: Bacteria; Pseudomonadati; Bacteroidota; Bacteroidia; Bacteroidales; Tannerellaceae.
GAGUUUGAUUAUGGCUCAGGAUGAACGCUAGCGAUAGGCUUAACACAUGCAAGUCGAGGGGCAGCGAGGGUAGCAAUACCUGUCGGCGACCGGUGCACGGGUGAGUAACGCGUAUGUAACCUGCCCGCAACAGGGGGAUAACCCGGCGAAAGUCGGACUAAUACCGCAUAAAACAGGGGUCCCGCAUGGGAAUAUUUGUUAAAGAUUUAUCGGUUGCGGAUGGGCAUGCGUACCAUUAGGUAGUUGGUGAGGUAACGGCUCACCAAGCCUUCGAUGGUUAGGGGUUCUGAGAGGAAGGUCCCCCACACUGGUACUGAGACACGGACCAGACUCCUACGGGAGGCAGCAGUGAGGAAUAUUGGUCAAUGGGCGAGAGCCUGAACCAGCCAAGUCGCGUGAAGGAUGACUGCCCUAUGGGUUGUAAACUUCUUUUACAAGGGAAUAAAAUGAGAUANCGUGUAUUUUAUUGCAUGACCU